GACAGAGGUGCCAAGCGUUAGGCGGAAUCAUUGGGCGUAAAGAGCGUGUAGGCGGCUUGGUAAGUCCGCUGUGAAAGUCCAGGGCUCAACCCUGGAAUGCCGGUGGAAACUGCCAAGCUAGAGUCCGGAAGAGGCGAGUGGAAUUCCUGGUGUAGCGGUGAAAUGCGCAGAUAUCAGGAAGAACACCCGUGGCUAAGGCGGCUCUCUAGUACGGUACUGACGCUGAGACGCGAAAGCGUGGGGAGCGAACAGG
This 253-nucleotide ribosomal RNA is filed under the name uncultured bacterium. RNAcentral's name for it is "partial 16S ribosomal RNA". It matches the Rfam family "Bacterial small subunit ribosomal RNA", at positions 524 to 776 of the family's 1533-position model. The record is from RNAcentral.